CUUACGGUUCAUGUGUUUCAAAAACAUAACGAAACAUUUAUUUGCUAAAGGCAGAUAACUCCUAUUACAUUUUACCGAAUCGUUUCGAACAAAAUUAGCCAAAAAAUCCAGUGUGACGAACAAUUAAGAAAUAAAAAUUUUUGUCGACAUCUUUCUUUGUUACGAAUAAGAUGAACACAGAUGAUAAACAGUAAAUAGGGAGAUAAGUCUUACAAAGAUAUAAAAAAGAAAAGAGUCUUGUUCGGCUUAGCAGGGUGAAAUUUAAAAGCGCAUAACUGUAUGAUACUUUAUAAGAAAUGUCUAAGCGAAAUAUUGCGAAACAAAUAUUUAUCGCAAAAUAGAACAAAAUU
Molecule: long non-coding RNA, 350 nt
Filed under: Mytilus galloprovincialis (Mediterranean mussel)
Lineage: Eukaryota; Metazoa; Mollusca; Bivalvia; Mytilida; Mytilidae
Source: RNAcentral